UCCUCAGGUAGGAUAAUCCUUACCUGUUCCUCUAGUCAGAGGGCAGAUAGAAUAUGAUGAUUGGAGUUUGCAAAUUCCUGAUAAAUGUCUCUGCAUGAUGAGGGGUUACAACACUCCUUAUUGCUCCUAAUGAU
Small nucleolar RNA from Sorex araneus (European shrew), 134 nucleotides. RefSeq annotates it as U8 small nucleolar RNA. The transcript has a single exon. NCBI's taxonomy places the organism in Eukaryota, Metazoa, Chordata, Mammalia, Eulipotyphla, Soricidae. The record is from RefSeq and is a predicted model, not a curated record.